Molecule: long non-coding RNA, 129 nt
Organism: Mustela erminea (ermine)
Lineage: Eukaryota; Metazoa; Chordata; Mammalia; Carnivora; Mustelidae
Exons: 3
Source: RefSeq, a predicted model, not a curated record
GUUUCAGGGCAUCUGGAUGGCUCAGUUGGUUAAGCAUCCAACUAUUGAUUUUGGCUCAGAUCAUGAUCUGAGUGUUGUGAAAUUGAACCCCAUGUCGGGGUCCUUGCUGGACAUGAAGCCUGAAUAAGA